This 38-nucleotide ribosomal RNA is filed under the name Peltigera degenii. Its description in RNAcentral is "partial 26S ribosomal RNA". Lineage: Eukaryota; Fungi; Ascomycota; Lecanoromycetes; Peltigerales; Peltigeraceae. The record is from RNAcentral.
UUGACCUCGUAUCAGGUGAGGAUACCCGCUGAAUUUAA